CUAGGAUUCCCAAAGUAACGGCGAGUGAACUGGGAAAAGCCCAGCGCUGAAUCUUUCGAUAUCCAUAUCGUAAAGAGAUGUAGCGUAUAGAUAUGAUUGUCGGUUUGUUUCGGCAUGUCCAAAGUUCCUUUGAUAGGGACCAUAUUCCAGAGAGGGUGCGAGACCUGUACGGACAGUUGAACAUACCGUAUGAUUAUAUCAUGGAGUCGGGUUGCUUGAAAGUGCAGCCUAAAGUGGGUGAUAAACUUCAUCUAAGGCUAAAUACGGACGCGAAUUCGAUAGCAAACAAGUACUGUGAAGGAAAGUUGCAAAGAACUUUGAAGAGAGAGUUCAAGAGAACGUGAAAUCGUUGAAGUGGAACCGGAGAGAGUUGACGUAGUCUUAUGGAUAAGUAUUGCAAGAAUCGUAUUCAUCACAUAUGUAUGAUUAUGAUCGAGUAAUAUGUAUGCCAUAAAUGACUGUGCUGACAGCAUCGACUACACGAACACGAACUAUGUUGACAUGUUGCCCAUACUAUUUCUAUAUAGAAUGGUGUCUUAUGUUACGAUGUAAGGUUUGUUGUAUGUUGAUGUUGAUAUUGUGUGUGUGUGUGUUGUUUUAUACAUCACACUAAUAACAUUAAUGUCAGCAUAAAAGUCAACCACCUCUCCGACCCGUCUUGAAACACGGACCGAGGAGUGUAACUUGUACGCGAGUCAAUAGGUGAAAAAACCUUACGGGCGAAAUGAAAGUAAAGGCACGGUUAACCGGCUGACAUGGGAAACGUGUUCGACGACGACGACGACACGUUGCACCAUGGCCCUGUCUUGUCUGCAUGCAGAUGGGCAGUGGUAGAGCGUACAGGUUGCGACCCGAAAGAUGGUGAACUAUUCCUGAGCAGGACGAAGUCAGAGGAAACUCUGAUGGAAGUCCGUAUCGGUUCUGACGUGCAAAUCGAUCGAUAGACUUGGGUAUAGGGGCGAAAGACUAAUCGAACCAUC
RNAcentral lists this ribosomal RNA (980 nucleotides) under Trilobostrongylus bioccai. RNAcentral describes it as "partial large subunit ribosomal RNA". It matches the Rfam family "Eukaryotic large subunit ribosomal RNA", at positions 69 to 944 of the family's 3401-position model. The record is from RNAcentral. Lineage: Eukaryota; Metazoa; Nematoda; Chromadorea; Rhabditida; Trichostrongylidae.